Molecule: ribosomal RNA, 585 nt
Filed under: uncultured bacterium
Lineage: Bacteria
Description: partial 16S ribosomal RNA
Rfam family: Bacterial small subunit ribosomal RNA
Source: RNAcentral
UGGGGAAUUUUGGACAAUGGGGGCAACCCUGAUCCAGCAAUGCCGCGUGUGUGAAGAAGGCCUUCGGGUUGUAAAGCACUUUUGUCCGGGAAGAAAUCCCCUGCCCUAAUACGGCGGGGGGAUGACGGUACCGGAAGAAUAAGCACCGGCUAACUACGUGCCAGCAGCCGCGGUAAUACGUAGGGUGCGAGCGUUAAUCGGAAUUACUGGGCGUAAAGCGUGCGCAGGCGGUGAUGUAAGACCGAUGUGAAAUCCCCGGGCUCAACCUGGGAACUGCAUUGGUGACUGCAUUGCUCGAGUAUGGCAGAGGGGGGUGGAAUUCCACGUGUAGCAGUGAAAUGCGUAGAGAUGUGGAGGAACACCGAUGGCGAAGGCAGCCCCCUGGGCCAAUACUGACGCUCAUGCACGAAAGCGUGGGGAGCAAACAGGAUUAGAUACCCUGGUAGUCCACGCCCUAAACGAUGUCAACUGGUUGUCGGGCCUUCAUUGGCUUGGUAACGUAGCUAACGCGUGAAGUUGACCGCCUGGGGAGUACGGUCGCAAGAUUAAAACUCAAAGGAAUUGACGGGGUCAUAGCUGUUUCCU